This is a long non-coding RNA of Candoia aspera, 6992 nucleotides long. RefSeq lists it as uncharacterized. Lineage: Eukaryota; Metazoa; Chordata; Lepidosauria; Squamata; Candoiidae. The transcript is spliced from 2 exons. The record is from RefSeq and is a predicted model, not a curated record.
AGAGACGUCUUACUAAAGGGCUCUUGGCAAUUGGUGCUAUAAAUUAUCUGAAAUUAUUUAAAUGUAAUUACCUUAUAGCCUAGUCCAGCUGCUACACAGACGUUAAGGUAAGUGGAUAUAGGAUUGCAGUCAUGGUAUAGGAAAUUGUUUCUGUUGUUAAGGAGUGAUUAAGUCUUGUAAAUAUGGGUUGUUACUGAACACUUUUAUAUGCUUUCCUGAGAAAUUUCUUGGCUUGUGCAUUCUACUCAAACAGAGGAAGCCCUCUUCCCAAAGUCUUUCAAAGCCAAGGAAACGAAGAUUGUAGUUUUUCUGUGAUAAGUUAAGCUUCUCCUCAGAUUAGUUUACAAUUUAAAGGCUCUGCUUUUGUUCUCUAAUAAUUGUUUAAUAAUGAGACUUAUUGGUGGUCUCAGUGGAGAAAAAAUUGCAGCAGUUCAAAAUGUCAGAAUGUCCAGCUUCUGAAGUUUAGCAUAAACUGGAAAAUGCAAUGCGUGUAGUUCUGCUCUUGCACUCUGUAUUACGAGGGACAGUUUUUGUCUGGUUGUUUUCAAAUGCUGUUUCAUCUUCUUUGAUUGGUUUUUCAAAGUCUCCUGUACAACAAAUCUGAAACAAGUCACACAUUGCUGAAGGUAGCUUGUUUUUAUCAGUAUGAUUUGAGAGAGAUUGUCUGCCCAUAUUUACUAAAUGAUGGCUAGCGAGGUUCUCUUUCAACAGAAGUAUUUCCUGUCACCGUGCUGUACUCCAGCUCCCCACUCACCUGUACAGAAUGUAUGGCCUAUAUGAAUGUUUUAGGUAAUGGAUUUUUCUCUGUAAACCAUAAUUUUCAUGAGGGAGUAGAACCAUUGUCUAUUAAUGCUACAGUUUAUUUAGGAAAUGAAAGUUGAACUACAGUAUAGAAUCAAUGCAAUUAUUAGGGUUGGGGGGUAUUGAAAUAUAACUAUUAUGGCCAGCAACUUUUUUGCUUCAGCAAAAGCUUUGAUUUAGAUGUACUCCACCCUUUCAAGGGGUUUCGUUCACCCUCCUUAUACAUUUGGGAAGGGGCAAAGAGUCAAGAUAGAGGCCACGACUGCACAAUUGAAGCCCUACCCCUUUGUUAUGUUCAUUGUGACACAUAAAAAGGGAUGGGGCUUAAAUUAAGCUGCUGCAACUGCCAUCUUGACUUUUUAAUCCCCCCACCCUCCAGAUGGUCAUCAUGUGGUCAUUAUGAUUCAGAAAUAGCACUUUCCUGUUUAUCAUUUUUCCUAAAAGUAAGUGAACUAUUUCUUUAGAUUAACUUUCAGGAACUUCAGUUGAGUUAUUUGAUGUUGUAUUAUAGAAUGAGGCUACAGUACUUGAUGGGCUAGAAGGAAAGGGCUAUUGCAUGCAUUAAUAUUCCCUUGGCCUGGCUCUUGGUGACAUGGGCUACCUGAAUAGAUGGUCCCCAUGGAGGCUGUCAGGGGCCAUACUGAAGGAUGGGUUAUGCCGAUUGGAUGAACUGAAUCUUGCCAUCUCAUGAAAGAUGAAAGACAUCCUCACAACAAAAAGUAAGCCAUUAUUUCUCUUCAUUUAAAUAAUUUUGAUCUACUAUUUAAGUAGGAUGCUUAGUAGUUCUUAGUGUAUAUCCACUUGUUUGGGAAACAAGAAGAGUAAAAUUGGCUGCCAACACUAAAUAAGCAUUACCCAUUUAAGGACCUUUCAGACAAUUCUGGCUUCAUUGUUACAUGAUAAUAAGGGGCUGUCCAGAAUUUGCCUUAGCAAUGCCAAGUAGCCCCAGUUGGAUCAUGACUGGAAUAAAGCUGCAUACAUUAAAUGUAUGAUAGAAGUAGCCUGUGUUUUAUUACACACAUAAUCUUUCUGUCAUUUGUUAUAUAUUUGUUAUGUUUUAUUUUGCUUUGCUUUGUUCUGCUUCUGCUCAAUUUGCUCCCUUAUAUCAGAUUAGAACUCCUGGAUUAAAUGUGUUAAGUAUUCUCUCAUCAGCAUUCUUUGCCAUUUCUGACACUGGGGCUUCAGGAAAAAAACUCUUUAGCACUACAGUAGGGGAUCUCUCUGCAGGAGGUCAGAGAAAUUUAAACAGAAAUAUUUCACAUUAUUAAGCAGUAGCUGACAGUUUGUGAUAUCAUUGUGCCUGUGUUCCACGGUUUUUGACUAGCUUCCCUUAAUUGUUACUGAAUAACUACAGCUGUCUGUCCUGUUUAAUUUCAGCUUCAGAAUGGUAUAGAUACCGAACAUCUGUAAGUGGAGCAACUCUAAGCACAAUUAUAAAUGGUUCUGUAAAAUUAAUUUUAAAAAACCUGCUUUGUUAGACAAGUUAGCCCAGAUUUCUCAAAUUCCCAGGACUGGUCCAGUAUUAACUCUUACCCCAAAUUCAUAAUGAGCAAAGAUCAGUAGCAAUAUGGAAAAUUGAGUAAAAUUACUCUAUUUUUUGUGCAUAUGUGCUGCCUGCAUAAAUGUCAUAGUCUUGCAUAAUAGCUGUGUUAAUGAGGCUGGAAGCUUACUAACUCAGUACAAUUUUUUUUGGAAAUGAACAUAAGAUUGUGCUGUAAAAAAGGUAAGAUUCCGUUUGCAUUAAGUAGUGCCAUGAUGCAUCAGUCUAGGACCAGCUUUGUCCAUAUAUAAUCAGUCAGUGUAUAACUAAUUAGGGAACCUAUAGCUUUUCAUGUAUUGCUGAAUUCCAUCUGCAUUAGUGAUGAUCAGGUAUAGUAGGAGUUACAAGUCCAACAUUUAUUGAUUCCACACACUUGAUAUUGAAUUAGUACUAAAAUAAAUAAAGGAUAGAGGACUGUUUUAGAUUAAAGGGUCUUUGUCAUUAAGAUUACUUUGGUUUGUUGCGGAAGGCUCCUCAAAGGGCAACUUGGAUAUUGAAAAGAUGAGCUAAUCAUAGUGAAGAAUUUUUUUAAAAAACCUUAAUGUCAGUUCACAACUUAAGAGAUCACAGUGCUUCACGGUGCAAUCUGUUUGCUGAGAGGUAAAUUCCAUUAUAUUUAUUGAGCUUUACUAAUUCCUAAUUUAUUAUUGCAGCCUGAAUGUAUCCUAAUGAAAUUAGUGGAAUUGGAAAAAAAAAUAUUGGAAUCUGUGCAAGCUUGCCAUGAGAAUUCCAACAUAGAUAUGGGUGAUUCCUGUAUCUUCUUCUUUCUAUAAAAAGGUAUUAUGACUACAGAACAUUUUAUACUGACUUCCAUGUAAGCUGCCCUUACACAGAGUACUCUUGGACUUUAAAAAUAAAAUUAAAUAGUCACUGGAGACAAGGGAAGAGAUGCUACAUAUUUUCCAUGCUUCUGUUCUCUUUGUUAAGUUGUGCUGUUUUCCUCCAUGACUUCUAAGAAGAAAAAACGAAUAGUGGACAAAGAAUUAAGCAAUUUGUCUUCCUUUGUUUUUCACAUUUAGAUUUCUUUUCAUCAUGCAGCCUGGCCUGGUUUGUAUAAUACAUUACUUAGAAAGGGGGUUAAAGCUUCUGUCUUUUUUAUCUUGAACACUAUUUAAAAAAUGAAGUUAAGAAUUAGACUUACGAAGCACAAUGGAAUAGAUGUCCCGUGUAUAAAAGUGGUGCGAUUGACAGCAAAGCUAUUCUUAGUACCCUUGUUCAGGAUUUUCUAUUAUUUGUCCCUGAAAAAGAAUCUUCAGUUCAGUGAAGGAUAGCUAUCGAUAGGCCCUUAGGAUUCAGCUUGGCAUAAUGUUUGUAAGUUAUACGGCACAACUAUUUGAUGUAUCAGAAACGUACCUUUGUCUAGGAUAAAGCAAUAAUCUUUUGUUGAUCUGUUACAUAGUGCAGGUAUCUUUUUUUCAACAAAUUGGCCAGCCUCAUAUUCAAAGACAGUUUAUUGUAAAGAGGCAUGAUCUAAAGAGUGUUCACACAGUCUGCAUACUAUCUGUCCUGACUCAUGACACUAUCUCAACCACCUGGAUUUGUUUGGGUGUCUUACUGAAAAGGGAACUAGAGAAGUAUUAGGUGAAAUUAAGUAAUACCUUAACCGGUUGCUCUAAGUAGUCUGUAAAGACUCUGAUAGUCGCGGUUUUGAUUUAGUCAUUCGCCUGCUUGAAAAUGACAUGGAGUACUAUUUUUAACUUCUGAUUUGCUGGCAUGGCAGAAAUUGGUGGUGUGUGAUAUGGCUGCAUGUAGAAUGUACUUGUCAUAGUUAUUUUCCAACACUGACGUGAAAAUAUUCCAUAUACAGUAAGUGGUAGAAGAAUCACUGCGUAAGCUGUUAAAUAGACAUAAAAGACAUGUUUCUCAUGCAAACCCAACCAAAAAAUACAGAAGCGGCUAAGCCCCCUAAUCUUGGCAUAAUGCCAUUCGUUUCCAUACCACUUUUAAGGGGAGUGUCCCAGUGGGCUGUAUCUUGCCUCUGCCUUUGUAAUAGAGGCACUGGGAUGUAAACUUCUAUAUGUGAGAUUUCAUUCUCUGCUACAUUUAUUUGGCCCCAUUAAAAUAAGUAGAACAUUUGCUGCUGUUUUGAAUGAUACAAGGAUAUUGACUCUCAGCAUAACUCUAUCUAGAUUCUCUGACUACAUGCACGAUCAGCCAGUAGGUAUUUCUUUUCUGAUUACUGUAAUAUUUAAGAUAUUGAUUAGUUUGAUAUCAGAAGAAAUAAAAGGACUUAAUUCCAAGCAAAUAUAUUUAGGAUUGGGGUGACAGAAGUCUCAGGAAUAUAUUUUAACAGAUUAUAUGUAGCUUUGAUAUAAAGAGUGUUUUGACCUAAACAAACCUGCUUUCUGUCAAUGCCCAGUGAUUUCCAUCCUGCAUUUUAAAUUGACAAAAUAAAUAAGCAGCAAAGUAUUUUGCAUACAAGAUAAAAAUUCUAGUCAUUUGACUUCACUGUAUAUACAAACAUACAAAGAAGUAAAGGUAAAAAUUAGGACUUAAAAUAUUUAUGAAUGCUAAAGAUGGGGAGGUUUAUCUUAGAACAAUUAUUUCAUGUGUGUGAGAGAAUAAGCUUCUUCUAGGAUGAGUACUACAGGGAGUUCUCACUUAGUGACUGCCUUGUUUAGCAACUUAGCAAUUACUAUGGUGAUAAAAAAGUAACUUUGCAACCAGUCCUCACAUAUACGGCCUUCACAGCUCUGUAAAGCAAAGGAAAGCUGAAGAAAGAUCGUAAGCAAAACAUGGUUUCACUUAGUGACUGCUUUGCUUAACAACCAAGUUGCCAGUCCCAAUUGUGGUCACUAAAUGAGGACUGCCUGCACUACACAUUUCAAAAUACGCAUUUUUUUUCCUGUGGAAGUCAUUUUUUGUUGUGCAUUUAUUCAGCUGCUCAAUAGCCUUAAUAAGAAAUGCAUUGUACAUAAGUCCCAAUUCAUUCUUUCAUAUUAUAAACAAAUUAUGCCCAUAAUUACAUCUACACAAUGAAUUUGAUUUGUUGGCAUGCAUUUAAAACAGCACUAUCCACUGGGGAGGGGGGAAUCUGUGAAUGGUGGGUGCUGUGUCCCAAGCCCUGUCCCUUUUGUACAUGUGUCUGUACAUGAACACAAAAGGGAAGGGUGUGGAUCAUGAUACUAUGCCUUCAACCAUACAAACACAGUGAAGCCCUUCUCUGAGCCUGUAAAUAAUGUGCAGAGCCUGUAGUAUAUGGAAAGGAAAAAAGGUGGCAUGAUCCAAAACUGGAUUGGGAAAAUAAGAAAUCUGGCCCACUGCCAGCUGUCCAGAACAUGGUUGUAAAGGAACCCAUGUUGCCUGAUCUGGAAAGAUGCUCAAAUGUGUGCUCUUCAUGUAAAAAAUAAAUAAAAAAUAAUCUGCUACAGCAAAUGACUAAUUCAGUAACUUACCUAAUUUGGUACACUUCCAUUCUGUACAAUCUAUUCCAUAACUUUUACCAUCUUGCAUGCUUUCUAUCUACCCUCUAUUAAGCAGGAGAAAGUAUAGAGAGGUACCAAGGGCCUCCUUUCUGAUUUUUGGAAAUUUUAUUUACAAAUGUUGCUAUUCUUCUGACAUUGGAAAUAUUGUACUUUUUGUUGUUUAUAUCUUCAUAAAGAUUGAACUGACCUUCGCAUCAGUGCCAGAUUUGGUAGCUUAGCAUUACAGAAUACCUUUGGUAGUCUUAAUUCUCCACACUUUGGGAUAUCCUUCUGACAUCUUAAGUUUAAUUUUUGUUCUCUUUUGAAUGUGUCCUGCUUGUUGUGAAAUGCCUACCAUCCAUUAAAUAAUAGAAAGGUUUUCAUAAAUAGUGUCAUCUUUUUAUAAAUGGUUACAGCUCUGAGCUAUGGUGGAAUGUCAAAAAUGUUACACCUUUUUUUUUACCAGAUACCUGCAAAAUGCUUUGAUUAAUGUUUAGGUUCUAAUGCAGUUAAGGCUAAUUUCAAAGCUUUGCCUGUUACUGAACAUUUAACACAGUCGUUUUUGCAAUCACUGUUAACUUGUUUCUGCCAUUUUCUUUUAAGACUUCAUAUACAAGUGUAUAAAUCCACUGUUGGAAUUCUGCAUGUUAUCUAUGUGCAAUAUUUCUAACUCUGUUUCUGAGAAAUGUUAUAUGUUACAAUUGUGUUAAUUACUUACAUGGUUUAUUUUAGCUAAGUUGGGUGGUGUGAAUAUAUAAAAAAUAAAAGGCGAAUUCCUUUUUGCUUGUAGGGUUUUUGGGGUGGGGGUGGGGGUAAAUUAAACCUGAAAUUGUUAAAGGUAGAGGGGAAUUAUUAAAUUAGGAUUUGUAAUAAUUUACUUUUUGUAAUUUUGUAAAAAAAAUAAAUGAUACUUUUAUUUUAAGGUUCUACUUUUGUAAGUAAUAUACUGACAUGGGGCACAAUCUGUCAGAAGCACAUCCUGCUUUUAUCUCAUUGAAAUUUGGGAAAGAACCCUACCUCCUUCAUCUUAUUUUUCAAACUUCAGCAGGGUAAAUUUCUCAUAUAUUGUGCCCGUGAUGUCUAUUAUUUUAUAAGGAGAAGUUAUUUAAAACCACUGUCUAAUAUACUAUAAAAUUCAAACUUCCUGUAUCACUUUAAAGCUAUCUUGAUGCCAGAAUCUUGUUGUUAAAUGUUGUGUUUUAACAUGUGUAAUUCUUGAUAUGCAUUAAAAAGAUGUUGAUUAUGGA